UACGGGGGAUGCAAGCGUUAUCCGGAAUCAUUGGGCGUAAAGCGCCUGUAGGUUGUUUAAUAAGUCUGUUGUUAAAGACUGGGGCUUAACCCCAGGAAAGCAAUGGAAACUACUAGACUAGAGUAUGGUAGGGGUAAAGGGAAUUUCUAGUGUAGCGGUGAAAUGCGUAGAUAUUAGAAAGAACACCGGCGGCGAAAGCGCUCUACUGGACCAUUACUGACACUCAGAGGCGAAAGCUAGGGUAGCAAAAGGGAUUAGAUACCCCUGUAGUCCUAGCCGUAAACGAUGGAUACUAGAUGUUGCAUGUAAUGUGCAGUAUCCUAGCUAACGCGUUAAGUAUCCCGCCUGGGGAGUACGCUCGCAAGGGUG
This 369-nucleotide ribosomal RNA is filed under the name uncultured phototrophic eukaryote. RNAcentral describes it as "SSU rRNA". It matches the Rfam family "Bacterial small subunit ribosomal RNA", at positions 524 to 896 of the family's 1533-position model. The record is from RNAcentral.